AACAGGAUUAGAUACCCUGGUAGUCCAUGCCGUAAACGAUGAUUACUAAGUGUUGGAGGGUUUCCGCCCUUCAGUGCUGCAGCUAACGCAUUAAGUAAUCCGCCUGGGGAGUACGACCGCAAGGUUGAAACUCAAAAGAAUUGACGGGGGCCCGCACAAGCGGUGGAGCAUGUGGUUUAAUUCGAAGCUACGCGAAGAACCUUACCAGGUCUUGACAUCUUCUGCCACCUAAGAGAUUAGGCGUUCCCUUCGGGGACAGAAUGACAGGUGGUGCAUGGUUGUCGUCAGCUCGUGUCGUGAGAUGUUGGGUUAAGUCCCGCAACGAGCGCAACCCUUAUUACUAGUUGCCAGCAUUCAGUUGGGCACUCUAGUGAGACUGCCGGUGACAAACCGGAGGAAGGUGGGGACGACGUCAAAUCAUCAUGCCCCUUAUGACCUGGGCUACACACGUGCUACAAUGGAUGGUACAACGAGUCGCGAAACCGCGAGGUUUAGCUAAUCUCUUAAAACCAUUCUCAGUUCGGACUGUAGGCUGCAACUCGCCUACACGAAGUCGGAAUCGCUAGUAAUCGCGGAUCAGCAUGCCGCGGUGAAUACGUUCCCGGGCCUUGUACACACCGCCCGUCACACUAUGAGAGUUUGUAACACCCAAAGCCGGUGGGGUAACCUUUUAGGAGCUAGCCGUCUAAGGUGGGACAGAUGAUUAGGGUGAAGUCGUAACAAGGUAACC
RNAcentral lists this ribosomal RNA (730 nucleotides) under uncultured bacterium. RNAcentral's name for it is "bacterial SSU rRNA". It matches the Rfam family "Bacterial small subunit ribosomal RNA", at positions 771 to 1501 of the family's 1533-position model. The record is from RNAcentral.